AGCCCAGAGCCUGAAUCAGUGUGUGUGUUAGUGGAAGCGUCUGGAAAGGCGCGCGAUACAGGGUGACAGCCCCGUACACAAAAAUGCACAUGCUGUGAGCUCGAUGAGUAGGGCGGGACACGUGGUAUCCUGUCUGAAUAUGGGGGGACCAUCCUCCAAGGCUAAAUACUCCUGACUGACCGAUAGUGAACCAGUACCGUGAGGGAAAGGCGAAAAGAACCCCGGCGAGGGGAGUGAAAAAGAACCUGAAACCGUGUACGUACAAGCAGUGGGAGCACAGAGCAAUCUGUGUGACUGCGUACCUUUUGUAUAAUGGGUCAGCGACUUAUAUUCUGUAGCAAGGUUAACCGAAUAGGGGAGCCGAAGGGAAACCGAGUCUUAACUGGGCGUUAAGUUGCAGGGUAUAGACCCGAAACCCGGUGAUCUAGCCAUGGGCAGGUUGAAGGUUGGGUAACACUAACUGGAGGACCGAACCGACUAAUGUUGAAAAAUUAGCGGAUGACUUGUGGCUGGGGGUGAAAGGCCAAUCAAACCGGGAGAUAGCUGGUUCUCCCCGAAAGCUAUUUAGGUAGCGCCUCGUGAAUUCAUCUCCGGGGGUAGAGCACUGUUUCGGCAAGGGGGUCAUCCCGACUUACCAACCCGAUGCAAACUGCGAAUACCGGAGAAUGUUAUCACGGGAGACACACGGCGGGUGCUAACGUCCGUCGUGAAGAGGGAAACAACCCAGACCGCCAGCUAAGGUCCCAAAGUCAUGGUUAAGUGGGAAACGAUGUGGGAAGGCCCAGACAGCCAGGAUGUUGGCUUAGAAGCAGCCAUCAUUUAAAGAAAGCGUAAUAGCUCACUGGUCGAGUCGGCCUGCGCGGAAGAUGUAACGGGGCUAAACCAUGCACCGAAGCUGCGGCAGCGACGCUUAUGCGUUGUUGGGUAGGGGAGCGUUCUGUAAGCCUG
RNAcentral lists this ribosomal RNA (948 nucleotides) under Escherichia coli. RNAcentral describes it as "partial 23S ribosomal RNA". It matches the Rfam family "Bacterial large subunit ribosomal RNA", at positions 296 to 1251 of the family's 2925-position model. Lineage: Bacteria; Pseudomonadati; Pseudomonadota; Gammaproteobacteria; Enterobacterales; Enterobacteriaceae. The record is from RNAcentral.